Long non-coding RNA from Fukomys damarensis (Damara mole-rat), 396 nucleotides. NCBI's taxonomy places the organism in Eukaryota, Metazoa, Chordata, Mammalia, Rodentia, Bathyergidae. The record is from Ensembl.
AGAACUUCAGCAUAUCUUGCCCAAACAAGGGUAUUGUACUGGGUUGGGAAAGUCCCUUUCUAUCUCUAGUUUGCAGAGAUUUUAUAUUUGUGAUGAUUGCGCUUGACUGUGCAGCUUGGCUGGCUUGAGACCCUCCCAGUGGAUCGGUCAGGCACACUUGUGGCAUAUUGAAGACUCCUUCCAGUGAAGACGGGCAAGUUAAGUCUGUAUUACUGAGCACUGAGGAGUAUAGAACAUAUCAGAAUGGAAAGAGAAUAUUGCAUCUUUGUGGCCUUUCUUCAGAAUUUCUCCAAUGUAAGAUAUAUACAUGUAAGUACAUAAAUACAUUUAUAGAUUUAUGUAUUUUGGAAGUAAGGCUUAAAUUUACAUAAUUAGGAAGUAAGGUUUGAUUAAGAG